Molecule: ribosomal RNA, 530 nt
Filed under: uncultured Vermamoeba
Lineage: Eukaryota; Tubulinea; Elardia; Euamoebida; Hartmannellidae
Description: SSU rRNA
Rfam family: Eukaryotic small subunit ribosomal RNA
Source: RNAcentral
CUCGUAGUUGGAUUUCGGAAGGUCCUUAGUAAUCCGCCCCUUCGGGGAGCGGGUUGCUGGCCUCCUAUGUUCCUAACGGUCCUCGUCCGCGAGGGCGGGGAAUCAACCGCUAGGAUCGUUUACUUUGAGGAAAUUAGAGUGUUCAAAGCAGGCGUAACUCGCCUCCGAAUACGUUAGCAUGGGAUAAUGGAAUACGACUUCGGUCUUGUUUCGUUGGUUUCGCUUGGCUGAAGUAAUGAUUGAUAGGGACAGUUGGGGGCAUUAGUAUUUAGUUGUCAGAGGUGAAAUUCUAGGAUUUACUAAAGACUGACCAAUGCGAAAGCAUUUGCCAAGGAUGUUUUCAUUAAUCAAGAACGAAAGUAGGGGGAUCGAAGACGAUCAGAUACCGUCGUAGUCUCUACCGUAAACUAUGCCGACCAGGGAUCCGGAGAGUUUGCAUGGAUGACUCCCCGGGCACCUUGUGAGAAAUCAUAAGUGUUUGGGUUUUGGGGGGAGUAGGUCGCAAGGCGAAACUUAAAGGAAUGACGGAA